AGUCUUAUAUUCAAUAAAUGAUUUUAAAUUGCAAAUUUAAAGGUGAAUACUAUUUCUAAGGCUU
This 64-nucleotide transfer RNA is filed under the name Staphylinoidea sp. 4 KM-2017. RNAcentral describes it as "tRNA-Cys". The record is from RNAcentral. Lineage: Eukaryota; Metazoa; Arthropoda; Insecta; Coleoptera.